CCUACGGGAGGCAGCAGUGGGGAAUAUUGCGCAAUGGGCGAAAGCCUGAUGCAGCGACGCCGCGUGAGGGAUGAAGGUCUUCGGAUCGUAAACCUCUGUCAGCAGGGAAGAACGGUCACUGUGCUAAUCAGCAGUGAAUUGACGGUACCUGCAAAGGAAGCACCGGCUAACUCCGUGCCAGCAGCCGCGGUAAUACGGAGGGUGCGAGCGUUAAUCGGAAUUACUGGGCGGAAAGCGCUCGUCGGCGGUAUGUCAAGUCAAGGGUGAAAUCCCCGCGCUAAACGUGGGAACUGCCUUUGAAACGUGCAAAAUGGAGUGUGUGAGAGGAUAGUGGAAUUCCAGGUGUAGGAGGGAAAUCCGUAGAUAUCUGGAGGAACAUCAGUGGCGAAGGCGACUAUCUGGCACAUAACUGACGCUGAGGAGCGAAAGCGUGGGUAGCAAACAGGAUUAGAUACCCGGGUAGUC
Molecule: ribosomal RNA, 465 nt
Filed under: uncultured bacterium
Lineage: Bacteria
Description: partial 16S ribosomal RNA
Rfam family: Bacterial small subunit ribosomal RNA
Source: RNAcentral